RNAcentral lists this unclassified non-coding RNA (3367 nucleotides) under Daphnia magna. Its description in RNAcentral is "putative AC transposase, transcript variant X3". The record is from RNAcentral. Lineage: Eukaryota; Metazoa; Arthropoda; Branchiopoda; Diplostraca; Daphniidae.
CCGUUCUCUUGAAAGUAAAACGGAAAUAUCUUUUAAACAAUUCAAUUUAGGUAUAGGAACAUUUAUUAACUCAGCAAUCAUUUUUUAAUUCUUUGUCUUAUAUCGACGUAAAAAAAAUUACAUGGGAGACAUAGGAAUCAUCGAAGUGUCCAGUCCUUAAUAUAAAGUAGUCCAUGCUCGGUGACGUUUCACCAAUUUAUUCUCCUUUGUUGCCUGAUAUUGACGUUCCUAAAGGUAUUGAUUCACAGCAUUUUAAAGAAAUAACAUUGGCUGUUCAGCUACCAUCUUCUGACUGGAACUGGGUCUAUCAUGAAAAAUCAAAAACAGCUGUAUGCAUCGCUAUUGAAAACCUUCCAGACGGCAACAUUGGUAUUGCGAAGUCAUUGCAAAUUCAAUCAACAUCGAAAGCUUCUGUUCACGUCGGAGGCCAAAAUGUAAUUCUGUCUGGCUGUGAUGUAAGAUACGAAGGGUACGAUGACAUCAAUCGCUACCUUCGCAUUCUGAGCAAUGUGAAAGCUUGUAAAGGAUUUCUAAACGACGCAAUGGGAAACGUCAACGUUAUCGAAAGGUGCUCGAUUACGAGAAAUGGCCAAGUGUUGCGCUCAACCAGCUGCCGAUAUAUAGCCUCACCUAAUUCCAAGACUGAUCUGUGUCGAGAUUGCGCAAAUUGCUUAAGGAAUUUGAGAAAACGAGUCAUGCAGCCAAAGAACAUUGAAAUUUCCAAGAGGAAGCUGACGACUGCGCUUCAAAAGAUCAGACGCUUGAAAUCAAGAGAAGUUGUACGUUCAUAAUUUAAUUUAAAAGCAUGUAAAGGCACGCAAGCAUGUAAGGACGCAUUUUAAGGAUGUAAAUACAAAGUGAUGUAAAUCUCAAUUUAAUUUCUUUUUUUACAAUUACAUUUCAUAUUUUUUGGUUCUUUCAUAUAAUUGUAAUAUAAUACAAAUCAACUCAGUCGAAUAACAAUCAAAAUAGGCUAUUAUAGCUUUAUAAGUACACAAACAAUGUGCAAUCGGACUUAGAAAAUUUUCAAACCUUUGAGAGCAUUCAGGGGGAGGGGCUUAUAGCUCAUAGUUAACCCAACUGUCCACCAGGCAGCGCUGAUCAGUGGUGAUCACUGGCUUCAGCCGAGAUAGCCGAUUCCAAGCAAUAGUUCCUCCACCAUACUAAUACACCAUGCUGCGUUUGCCCACCUCUCCUGGUACAUCGUGGUUGAACGAAGACUUUGGUGAAGAAGUAAUAGAUAGGGCUCGGCCCCGAUUACCUGAACCCCAAAAAACCGCACUGACCUACCUGGAAAAUGGCCGAUCGGUUGCGACACGGGUAUGUACUUUUCAAGCGGUUCGGUUCGGUGCGAUGAACCCGUAGUAAUCGGGUACGAACCGCUGCCAUCUUGCAAAAUGAGGCUAAAAGGGUUGGAAAUUCUAAAGUUGGAGCCUGAUUGGCUGAUUCAAGUAGACGCGUUUAGACGCUGAGUGGAGUGAGUGCUGAUCGUUGGCGUUAGGCAACAGCAUCAAAAGUUUUCCUCUCUCUUUUCUUUUCAAGAAAGUCAAAAGGAAGUAAAGCCACUUGAAAUAUGACGACGAAAACAUCUUUAACGAAUUCAGUGGAACAGAAUAGACCGAUUUCAGCCACAUCGAGUAUUUCAGAUGAAAGUUUAGUGAGCAUUAUAAUUGAUUUGGAUGACACUGGUGAAACAAAUGUCGAAAGUGAGCACAGAAUGAAUUCCUCCAGACCAAAAGGUUCAUCUACAUCUACAUGUGUUCGUGAAAGUGAACUUGCUGAAACUCAUUCUGCAACGAAGGUUAAGAAGAAAAAGUCUUGGGUUUGGUUACACUUUGAUCAAAUUAAGAACUCAAAUUCAAGCAAGUGCAAGUAUUGCUCGAGUACUUUUGUGAUCAGUGGAACUGGCACUAUGUCUAAGCACUUAUAUGCUAAGCACUCUACUAUGUUGACGAAGACAAAUCAAAGCAGUUUGAAUAGUAUGGGGAAAAUUAUCAAGCCGUUCAAGGGAAGAAGCAGCGUUUCGGAAAUUUACGUCAAAAUUACAGCCACUAUACAAACCCCUUGGAGCGACUGCUGUAAAGGAUAGGUUAAUGCGUACCUAUGUUAAAAUGAAGCAGAAAUUAUCGAACAAUUCGGCAAAGCAAAUGUGGCCCUCACUACUGAUUUGUGGACGUCCCCCAAUAACUAAUCCUUCAUGGGCAUAGCUAUUGCAAUGUGGAAUGAAAAGUUCCAACCUAUUGAUAUCAUUAUUGGCUUCAAACCUGUGCUGGGUGAUCAUUCUGGUGUCAAUUUAGCUGAGAAUUUCUACAACAACCUUACUUCUUAUCAGCUAAAUGACAAGAUAUUGGCCAUCACCACGGAUAAUGCAAGUUCUAAUGCAACGUUCAUUGAACAUAUCAUUUAUUUAACAAGGAACACCUCACGUCCUUUUAAAAGAGAAAAAUGGAUCCGUUGUUUUGCGCAUGUCAUAAACCUUACCGUGAAAUCUGCUCUUAACGAAAUGACCGUCCUGAUUCAAACAGUAUUUGAAUGACUUAUAUUUUUCAUUUAAAAUUUUUUUCAGGUUUUCUUUUGUGUUUUUCAGCUCCAUGAUCUCGUUGUGGCAAUCAGAUCUUCACCACAACGGAUUCAAAAAUUCAAAUCCAUCUUUAAAAAAUGCAUAUUUGGGACUUCCGAUUUACUUUAUGAAGAAGACGAGCUUUUUUCAUCAGAUGGUGGCGUCGUACCCCAAGAUUUGCUUCCAAUAUUGGACUGUCCAACGUUGUGGAGUUCCACAUAUUUUUUUCUGAAACGUGGUUUUAAAGUAAGAUAUGCAAUUGAUAAAAUUGCAAUGGAUGUGGAGCUACGAAAAAACGAGCUGCAGGAUGGGGAAUGGCAGAUCCUUCGGCAAGUGUUUUCCUUCCUAGAGGACUUCGCUGUCGCAACAACUUACAUUGAAGCAAGUCAGUAUCCGACGCUUUUCCUCGUUGUACCGAUGUACAAUCGAUUACUGAAUUUGUUGGAAGAAGCAUCAACUGACCGAAGCAAGCAUCCGCUGUUGGUAAAGGGAGCUACAGCCGGGUUUCAGAAAUAGUCUUCUUACUACGACAAAGUCUCCUGUGGUCAUGGCAGCCACCUUUAUUGAUCCAAGGUGCAAAAUGCAAUAUAUUAUCCGUAAUGGAUGGAGUUGUGGGGGUGAUAUGACUAACUCCUAUUCUGGUAUCGAUGAAAACCUAAUUAUAACGCAUGUUAUGCCAACAAUUCAACGUGUUUUUAAAGAUUAUUACAUGCAAACCAGCCGCAGUCUGCCAUUGUCUAGUAACGACGGUAUUGUUACUAGAAGCGAUUCUGGGAAUCGGUACAAAAGCGGAACUAGUACAAAGUC